RNAcentral lists this ribosomal RNA (493 nucleotides) under uncultured bacterium. Its description in RNAcentral is "bacterial SSU rRNA". It matches the Rfam family "Bacterial small subunit ribosomal RNA", at positions 29 to 509 of the family's 1533-position model. The record is from RNAcentral.
AGUGAACGCUGGCGGCAGGCCUAAUACAUGCAAGUCGAACGGCAGCACAGCAGAGCUUGCUCUGUGGGUGGCGAGUGGCGGACGGGUGAGGAAUACAUGGGAAUCUGCCCAGUCGUGGGGGAUAACGUAUGGAAACGUACGCUAAUACCGCAUGCGCCCUAAGGGGGAAAGCCGGGGACCGCAAGGCCUGGCGCGAUUGGAUGAGCCCAUGUUCGAUUAGCUAGUUGGCGGGGUAAAGGCCCACCAAGGCGACGAUCGAUAGCUGGUCUGAGAGGAUGAUCAGCCACACUGGAACUGAGACACGGUCCAGACUCCUACGGGAGGCAGCAGUAGGGGAAUAUUGGACAAUGGGGGCAACCCUGAUCCAGCCAUGCCGCGUGAGUGAAGAAGGCCCUCGGGUUGUAAAGCUCUUUUGUCCGGAAAGAAAAGCAAUCGGUUAAUACCCGGUUGUUCUGACGGUACCGGAAGAAUAAGCACCGGCUAACUUCGUGCC